GAAAGAACGCAGCGAAAUGCGAUAAGUAAUGUGAAUUGCAGAAUUCAGUGAAUCAUCGAGUCUUUGAACGCACAUUGCGCCCCCUGGUAUUCCGGGGGGCAUGCCUGUCCGAGCGUCAUUGCCGCCCUCAAGCACGGCUUGUGUGUUGGGCCCCCGCCCCCCGGCUUCGGGGGGCGGGCCCGAAAGGCAGCGGCGGCACCGCGUCCGGUCCUCGAGCGUAUGGGGCUUCGUCACCCGCUCUGUAGGCCCGGCCGGCGCCCGCCGGCGACCCCAAUCAAUCUUUCCAGGUUGACCUCGGAUCAGGUAGGGAUACCCGCUGAACUUAAGCAUAUCAAUAAGCGGAGGA
RNAcentral lists this unclassified non-coding RNA (346 nucleotides) under soil metagenome. RNAcentral's name for it is "partial contains 5.8S ribosomal RNA, internal transcribed spacer 2, and large subunit ribosomal RNA". The stretch from base 3 to 118 matches the Rfam family "5.8S ribosomal RNA", at positions 39 to 154 of the family's 154-position model. The record is from RNAcentral.